AGAGUUUGAUCAUGGCUCAGGAUGAACGCUAGCUACAGGCUUAACACAUGCGAAGUCGAGGGGAAACGAUAUUGGAAGUCUUGCCUCCGAUAGGCGUCGACCGGCGUACGGGUGAGUAACGCGUAUCCAACCUGCCCACCACGUUGGGGAUAACCUUGACGAAAGUAAGACUAAUACCCAAUGACGUCUCUAGAAGACAUCUGAAAGAGAUUAAAGAUUUAUCGGUGAUGGAUGGGGAUGCGUCUGAUUAGCUUGUUGGCGGGGUAACGGCCCACCAAGGCGACGAUCAGUAGGGGUUCUGAGAGGAAGGCCCCCCACAUUGGAACUGAGACACGGUCCAAACUCCUACGGGAGGCAGCA
RNAcentral lists this ribosomal RNA (360 nucleotides) under uncultured bacterium. RNAcentral describes it as "bacterial SSU rRNA". It matches the Rfam family "Bacterial small subunit ribosomal RNA", at positions 8 to 353 of the family's 1533-position model. The record is from RNAcentral.